RNAcentral lists this ribosomal RNA (507 nucleotides) under uncultured bacterium. Its description in RNAcentral is "partial 16S ribosomal RNA". It matches the Rfam family "Bacterial small subunit ribosomal RNA", at positions 29 to 507 of the family's 1533-position model. The record is from RNAcentral.
ACGAACGCUGGCGGCGUGCCUAAUACAUGCAAGUCGAACGCUUCUUUCCUCCCGAGUGCUUGCACUCAAUUGGAAAGAGGCGUGGCGGACGGGUGAGUAACACGUGGGUAACCUACCCAUCAGAGGGGGAUAACACUUGGAAACAGGUGCUAAUACCGCAUAACAGUUUAUGCCGCAUGGCAUAAGAGUGAAAGGCGCUUUCGGGUGUCGUUGAUGGAUGGACCCGCGGUGCAUUAGCUAGUUGGUGAGGUAACGGCUCACCAAGGCCACGAUGCAUAGCCGACCUGAGAGGGUGAUCGGCCACACUGGGACUGAGACACGGCCCAGACUCCUACGGGAGGCAGCAGUAGGGAAUCUUCGGCAAUGGACGAAAGUCUGACCGAGCAACGCCGCGUGAGUGAAGAAGGUUUUCGGAUCGUAAAACUCUGUUGUUAGAGAAGAACAAGGACGUUAGUAACUGAACGUCCCCUGACGGUAUCUAACCAGAAAGCCACGGCUAACUACGUG